This 61-nucleotide transfer RNA is filed under the name Platerodrilus strbai. RNAcentral's name for it is "tRNA-Phe". Lineage: Eukaryota; Metazoa; Arthropoda; Insecta; Coleoptera; Lycidae. The record is from RNAcentral.
UAUUUUAAUAGCUUAUGUAGAGUAUAAUGCUGAAGACAUUAGGGAAUUUUUUUUAAAAUAU